This is a long non-coding RNA of Sapajus apella (tufted capuchin), 3977 nucleotides long. RefSeq lists it as uncharacterized. The transcript has 2 exons. Lineage: Eukaryota; Metazoa; Chordata; Mammalia; Primates; Cebidae. The record is from RefSeq and is a predicted model, not a curated record.
AAGAAAGAAAGAAAAAAAAAUUCAGGAAAACAGAAGAGAGAAAGAAAAGAAACAAGAGAAAAAAUCAGGAAAACAGAAGAAAGUAAUCACCCAAAUCCCAUCCCCUAAUCGAUUUCUGGGACAUGACGUGGGAAGCCGUUUAUCCUGUACGUGGGUAACAUUAAAUAAAGUAUUUUCCAAAACAUACCUCCUACUUCACAUCUCCAGUCUCCUUGGCCUGAUUUAUGAGCGAUAUACGUUUCGUGUUUGUCCAGUCUCCUUGGCCUGGUUUAUGAGUGAUAUGUUUCUCUGUCUGUAACUUGUUCUUUUUUUUUUUUUUUUUUCCCCACUCUAUAGAAGCUUAAGGUUUUCAUGUAAUCAAAUUUAUCAUUCUUGCAUGGCUUGGGGAGACCUUAACACCAAGAUUAUGAAUCUAUAAUUCCCCUUUAACUUUUUCUAAUUCUCUUAGAGGCUUAAAUUUACAUUUAGAGCUCUAAUCCAUCUGAAAUUUAUUCUUCAUAUUUCAGCUGUAAAUUAUUUAACUUCAAUUAUUCCCAGUUUUGUAGCCCAUUGACCCAAUAAUACGAAUUUUAAGCCAUCCUGUCUACCCUGAUUUGAAAUUGCACCGUUGUCACUCUCUGAAUGCUCACAAAAAUGUGAAUCUGUUUCAGGGCUAUCUACAAUACCUCUGUUAGCUAACUAUUAAACUUUGUCGUCAUUUGUCUUUUUCAGAUGUUAAUGACUAAUUACGCUUCAGAUAAACUUAAAAAUGAACUUGUCCAAGAUUGACCAUAUGCUGGUAAUUACUGAAGCAAGGGUCCCUAGUGUGGCACUCCAGCACAUCCUAACCAUUUUGCUGUUACUUGACAACUACACUACCUGCUCAAUCUUUGUAGGGAUUGCUAAAUUAAGUGUUGGGCAGCAAAACUUUGAUACAGAUUUAGGCUAAGAAAUUAACGUUUUCAAAGAUACUCUAAGAAAGCAAAAUGGUUUUUGACGAACUCUAAUUAUGACGCUUCAUUCUGUUAACCAUGCUGGGCAACUUAGUGAAUAGAGCAGGAAUACAUUUCAUUUCUGAAAAGGGACAAACGUUCUCCUUACAGUGACUCAGUAAUGUGACCUUUGAUAGAACGAUAUUUAAUAAUUUAUCACUAGUGAAUUCUACCAAACACUGAAGGAAGAAGUUACACCAAUUUUGUCCACAUUCUUCAAUAAUACAGGAGAGGAAAAUUCAUUUAAUGAGAUCAGCAUCGGACAGUCACAUUAUAUAAAAAAUUGUAGAUCAAUAUCCUUCAUGAACAUUGAUGCAACCUAUUCAAUAAGAUACUUGCAAAAUACAAAAAUUAGCUGGCCAUAACCAAAUGCCCACUGUGAUGUCAUGACUUGUACUACUUAUAUUGUGUUACUUUAUUGUAGUACAAUGUAAGAAAUGACACCACAGUGGGCAUUUGUGUCCCCCCUCCACUAGGUUCUCAAAUAUUUACUCAAGGGUCAUAGAACAGUGGUUUGGGGCACACAAUGUGCUGUAUUUGGGCCCUGAUUUUGUUUUUAAUAAAUGAAGCCCUUCCUGUACAGAGACUCCCGUUUAAUUCUCAAAAAUACCUUACCAUUGCUGUUCAAGAUUUAACGAUCGCCCCCUAGUGGUUUCUUAAAAUAUAUUUCUUAAGAUACAUCUAUUAUUUGUCGAGAUGGGGUCUUGCUUUGUCGCCCAGGCUGGUCUCAAGUGAUCCUCCCACCUCAGCCUUCCAAAGUGCUGGGAUUACAGGCAUGAGCCACCGCUCCCCACCACUGCCCCCUAAUGGGAAAGUCCUAAAAAAACAUGUUGCUAUUCAGAUUACAAAGGAACAUGAGUAGAACAUUUGAAAAAAACACAAAAUAUUAGCUUUUCCCCUUAUGGCAGUUUUUGCCGAAUUCCUUUUAGAGGAAAUUAAGCGUUGUAGUGCCUUCUCUUUGAUAAGCACUGAGCUGGAGAGAGACUUAACUUUAAGCCUGUAAAGUGGUGUUUCUUAAUUCUAAUACAGAGGUAAGAGGUUACAGUCUAAUACCACUGUGCCUAAAAUGUUGAGACAAACUCGAUUACAAAAAUAUCUCCGCCAUCUUGAGAACACCUCAAGAUCCCAUAGUAACGCUAAGCAUUUGAUUAAAAGAGUUGUAAUAUUCUGAUCUCGUGCAUCAUUACAAAAAGGAGGGUCAUUUCCCAAGGCUUUUUUCGGAGGGGAAGAGGUGCAUAAAGCCCCCUUUUUAACCACGCUAAGACAUACACACAGUGCUUAAACUAUCACCAUUGGAACAGAUAAAUAAGAUACUAAAAUUGAGGUGCUUUCAAAUGCACAAGUAAACUGACUUGAUUCUUGACUACCCAGCAUACGCCUAUCUUUCCCAUCAUUUGCAGGGCACUGGUUUUAUUCUUCUGGAAAUACACAAUACUAUUUCCAUUUGAAUUUAUGUGUAGUAGAAAAAAGAUAAAAAUUCUUUAUCAGCAUGCAUAGUUUUCACAUGUGCACAAUUUCCUAAUAAACACCUUACUCAAAAAAUAGUCACACACUGAACCUGCUUUCCUCUCUCUAGCUUAAUAACUCACAUUUAAGGUUUAAAAAAUUCUCUUCAUUUUGAAACGAAAAAAUUGCAUAGAUGCAUUGUUAUUUAAAUUCCAAGAGAGAGGGCUGCACACAAGCUUACCAUCCAGCAGUUAAUGGUUAAACAUGUAUUUAGACAGAUUUAUAAACUAAUUCUUCUUACUGCCCAGCCACUAACUAGAGAUAAAAAGUGGUUAAUAGAAUGAAGGUCCUUUCCUACCACAAUCUUUUCUAAAAGGUUAAGAGAAGGGAUGGAAUAUGUGCACGUGUAUUAAUGGCAAGAGAAUAGGAAAUACAAGCAACUUGACAAGACUAAGUUUAUUCUAAGUAUAAUUUUUAUUAAUAAAAAGAUUAACCAUGGCCAUGUAAAAUGAGUGGCUGGGCUUAUAGUUUGCUACACCAAUGAAAUUAAAAAAUUAAUACUUGAGAAUGUUAACAAUAAUUUAUAAUAGCAUUCCUUGAUAGAGGCAUUUUAAUUUUAGCAAUAAUUUCUCUUAAAUAUAUAAACUAAUCCUUAGUGUCAUGGAGGAGAAUCAUCAUAGCUACCAAUCAAUCAAAAAAGAAUUUCUGAGAGCUGUUAGGUGGUGUUAUCUCAAGACACACAACCAAGUUGUAGGAAAAUCUCCCAAAAAAAAUCUGGAAAGCUGUCCAGUCAGAACACAGGAAGGGUAUCACUGUUCUGACAGUGACACUUCUGACAGGGGAAUAUCCCACUUGCAAGUCAAGUGUGAAGAAUAAAUAACACAAAUUAAGAAUGUACCCAAGAUCCCCAAAUAAAUUAGUAAAAGUGCCAUUAAGAAUUAUCAGACAUAGAAUCAAUGUGUUCAAAUACAAAUCCAAAUUUGUUAAGUCCAAAAGAUACAGUAAUUUUAUUACAUAAAAUUUCUUCUGUGUGCUAAAAAUGUUAACUUACAAGACAUAAUAUUUGUAGUAGUGUAGAGGGAAUCACGAUAGACUCAUUUAAUUCUUUUUCAUUAUUGAAGAAUAGAACAGUAAGUAGUGGACAUAGAAGCACUCAAGAGUCCUCUGAAAUUCAAGGUUGUUAUAUUACGUUCAACCAAAAUAAGACUACCUUUCUUUAAUAAUAUAAAUGCCUGUUCAAUUCACCUUUCAAAAAUAAAGUCCAUUUCUUCUCCAUUAAAGCUUCUGCAAGACUGACAAAGGUACAUUCUACCUAUUAAAAAUAGGAGCACUCUUCAUCUUUGGAUAAGGUAUCACCACUUAGGGAAAAUGUACUCAUAUACAGAUGACCAGAUGUUUAUUUGAGGCAGCUGUUGGAGUUCAUUAAGCACUUUUUGAACGCUGUACCUUUAAAAAUCUGUCUUUAAUAUAGCUUUGGAAAACCAAAAAUAGAAGAAAAAUAUUUAUGGUAAAGUAUAUUUCAUUCUGAUAGCAGUAAAAUACAAAAAAAAAAAAAAAAAA